CAGACGAUGCGUCAUGCAUAUCAAUAAGCGGAGGAAAAGAAACUAACAAGGAUUCCCCUAGUAACGGCGAGUGAAGCGGGAAGAGCUCAAAUUUGAAAUCUUAAAGGGUUUCCCUUUACGAAUUGUAGUUUAAAGAAGUGUUUUCUGUUGAGGUUUUGGUAAAAGUUCUUUGGAAUAGGACAUCAUAGAGGGUGAGAAUCCCGUAUUUGACCUUUACUUUCAACUUUGUGAUACACUUUCAAAGAGUCGGAUUGUUUGGGAAUGCAGUCCAAAAUGGGUGGUAAAUUUCAUCUAAAGCUAAAUAUUGGCGAGAGACCGAUAGCGAACAAGUACCGUGAGGGAAAGAUGAAAAGAACUUUGAAGAGAGAGUUAAACAGUACGUGAAAUUGUCAAAAGGGAAGCGUUUGACACCAGUGUUGUUUUUCUGAAAAUCAAUUAAAGAACUGUUUAUGCUAAGUUGUUUAGACUUUAUCAGCUAACUGUUUAGUUUUGAGCUUUUCUUUAAUGCACUUUUCAGUUAACAAGUCAACAUCAAUUUCUUUUGCUGUAAAAAAGCUUGAGGAAGGUGGCUUGAGAUUCGUCUUAAGUGUUUAUAGCCUCUUGCCUAUGCAGUCGGAGAGAUUGAGGUCUGCAGCGUAGAUCCUUCGGGGCUAAAUGCAUUUGUGCUAAGUUAUAGCAUUUUAUAGACAACUUGUUGACUAUGAUUUGUCUUGUAGCUUACUCGCUUAUGUUAUUUUACCUACGCUUAGGAUGUUGAGCGCAUGUCUCUCUCU
This 773-nucleotide ribosomal RNA is filed under the name uncultured Neocallimastigales. Its description in RNAcentral is "partial large subunit ribosomal RNA". It matches the Rfam family "Eukaryotic large subunit ribosomal RNA", at positions 18 to 616 of the family's 3401-position model. Lineage: Eukaryota; Fungi; Neocallimastigomycota; Neocallimastigomycetes; Neocallimastigales. The record is from RNAcentral.